This 27-nucleotide non-coding RNA is filed under the name Rattus norvegicus (Norway rat). Lineage: Eukaryota; Metazoa; Chordata; Mammalia; Rodentia; Muridae. The record is from RNAcentral.
UAACUGUGCAGCUCCACAGGGCAUCAU